RNAcentral lists this long non-coding RNA (306 nucleotides) under Homo sapiens (human). RNAcentral describes it as "non-protein coding lnc-METTL15-2:3". Lineage: Eukaryota; Metazoa; Chordata; Mammalia; Primates; Hominidae. The record is from RNAcentral.
GUUGCACUGGAGAAUCUAAACUCUUUUGGAGAUGUCCCAAGGCCUAACCUGCACCUCUUCACAGCAUAGGCAAGAAAAUUCUGUCUGACCUUUCUGCCGGGAGGAGGGAAUGUUUAGGUAAAAAUGAGAAACCUAUGAAAUCAGCCACCAACAUGGCUGUGUCACUUUGGUGCUCCCACAACAACUUGAAGCAUUUUUCAUAUUAAACUUAAUAGCUGACCUGUCUACCCCCUAGCCUGUGAGAUCCUUCAGGGAAGGACUUUCCCUCAUGUUUUACUCACCUCUAUUGCUCUAACAACUAGGGCA